This 120-nucleotide ribosomal RNA is filed under the name Clostridioides difficile. RNAcentral's name for it is "partial 23S ribosomal RNA". It matches the Rfam family "Bacterial large subunit ribosomal RNA", at positions 2806 to 2925 of the family's 2925-position model. Lineage: Bacteria; Bacillati; Bacillota; Clostridia; Peptostreptococcales; Peptostreptococcaceae. The record is from RNAcentral.
AAGAUUUCCCACCGCAAGGGUAAGACCCCAGAAAGACUAUCUGGUUGAUAGGUCGAAGGUGUAAGUGCAGCAAUGUAUUUAGCUUAUCGAUACUAAUAGGUCGAGGACUUGACCAAUAUU